GUGGGGAAUUUUGGACAAUGGGCGCAAGCCUGAUCCAGCCAUGCCGCGUGAGUGAAGAAGGCCUUCGGGUUGUAAAGCUCUUUCGGCCGGGAAGAAAUCGGCGACUCUAACAUAGUCGCUGGAUGACGGUACCGGACUAAGAAGCACCGGCUAACUACGUGCCAGCAGCCGCGGUAAUACGUAGGGUGCGAGCGUUAAUCGGAAUUACUGGGCGUAAAGCGUGCGCAGGCGGUUUUGUAAGACAGAUGUGAAAUCCCCGGGCUUAACCUGGGAACUGCGUUUGUGACUGCAAGGCUAGAGUACGGCAGAGGAGGGUGGAAUUCCUGGUGUAGCAGUGAAAUGCGUAGAUAUCAGGAGGAACACCGAUGGCGAAGGCAGCCCCCUGGGCAUGUACUGACGCUCAUGCACGAAAGAGUGGGGAGCAAACAGGAUUAGAAACCCUAGUAGUCC
RNAcentral lists this ribosomal RNA (450 nucleotides) under uncultured bacterium. RNAcentral describes it as "partial 16S ribosomal RNA". It matches the Rfam family "Bacterial small subunit ribosomal RNA", at positions 354 to 796 of the family's 1533-position model. The record is from RNAcentral.